RNAcentral lists this ribosomal RNA (253 nucleotides) under uncultured bacterium. RNAcentral's name for it is "partial 16S ribosomal RNA". It matches the Rfam family "Bacterial small subunit ribosomal RNA", at positions 524 to 776 of the family's 1533-position model. The record is from RNAcentral.
UACGGGGGGGGCAAGCGUUGUUCGGAAUUACUGGGCGUAAAGGGCUCGUAGGUGGCCAACUAAGUCACACGUGAAAUCCCUCGGCUCAACCGGGGAACUGCGUGUGAUACUGGCGGGCUUGAAUUCGGGAGAGGGAUGUGGAAUUCCAGGUGUAGCGGUGAAAUGCGUAGAUAUCUGGAGGAACACCGGUGGCGAAGGCGGCAUCCUGGACCGAGAUUGACGCUGAGGCGCGAAAGCUAGGGGAGCAAACGGG